CGCGGGUGGGAGGUCGGGUGAUCUCACCAGGCUCAUAACCUGGUAAACCAGGUUCGAGUCUUGGACCCGCAACCA
Molecule: transfer RNA, 75 nt
Filed under: candidate division WWE3 bacterium CG_4_9_14_3_um_filter_41_6
Lineage: Bacteria; candidate division WWE3
Description: tRNA-Met
Rfam family: tRNA
About the family: Transfer RNA (tRNA) molecules are approximately 80 nucleotides in length. Their secondary structure includes four short double-helical elements and three loops (D, anti-codon, and T loops).
Source: RNAcentral